RNAcentral lists this ribosomal RNA (253 nucleotides) under uncultured bacterium. Its description in RNAcentral is "partial 16S ribosomal RNA". It matches the Rfam family "Bacterial small subunit ribosomal RNA", at positions 524 to 776 of the family's 1533-position model. The record is from RNAcentral.
UACAGAGGUCUCAAGCGUUGUUCGGAUUCAUUGGGCGUAAAGGGUGCGUAGGCGGCGACUCAAGUUAGAUGUGAAAGUCCUGGGCUUAACCUGGGGACUGCAUUUGAUACUGGGUUGCUUGAAUUCGGGAGAGGAUAGCGGAAUUCCCAGUGUAGAGGUGAAAUUCGUAGAUAUUGGGAAGAACACCGGUGGCGAAGGCGGCUAUCUGGACCGACAUUGACGCUGAGGCGCGAAAGCGUGGGGAGCAAACAGG